UCUGCUAAAGAGGAGGAAGGGAAUGGGCAACGGUAGGUCAGCAUGCCCCGAAUUAUCCGGGCUACACGCGGGCUACAAUGGUCAGGACAAUGGGUAUCGACACCGAGAGGUGGAGGCAAUCUCCUAAACCUGUCCUUAGUUCGGAUUGUGGGCUGCAACUCGCCCACAUGAAGCUGGAAUCCGUAGUAAUCGCGUUUCAAAAUAGCGCGGUGAAUAUGUCCCUGCUCCUU
Molecule: ribosomal RNA, 230 nt
Filed under: uncultured Methanolinea sp.
Lineage: Archaea; Methanobacteriati; Methanobacteriota; Methanomicrobia; Methanomicrobiales; Methanoregulaceae
Description: partial 16S ribosomal RNA
Rfam family: Archaeal small subunit ribosomal RNA
Source: RNAcentral